RNAcentral lists this ribosomal RNA (350 nucleotides) under Prymnesium parvum. RNAcentral describes it as "partial Bacterial small subunit ribosomal RNA". It matches the Rfam family "Bacterial small subunit ribosomal RNA", at positions 1067 to 1416 of the family's 1533-position model. Lineage: Eukaryota; Haptophyta; Prymnesiales; Prymnesiaceae. The record is from RNAcentral.
GUGAGAUGUUGGGUUAAGUCCCGCAACGAGCGCAACCCCUGCCCUUAGUUGCCAACAGGUUUGGCUGGGAACUCUAAGGGAACUGCCGGUGACAAGCCGGAGGAAGGCGGGGAUGACGUCAAGUCAGCAUGCCCCUUACACUCUGGGCUACACACGUGCUACAUUGGGCGAGACAAUGAGAUGCAAACCUGCGAGGGUAAGCUAAUCUAUAAACUCGUUCUAAGUUCGGAUUGUAGGCUGCAACUCGCCUACAUGAAGGUGGAAUCGCUAGUAAUCGCUGGUCAGCUACACAGCGGUGAAUCCGUUCCCGGGCCUUGUACACACCCCCCGUCACACCAUGGGAGCGGGUU